GAUGAACGCUGGCGGCGUGCCUAAUACAUGCAAGUCGAGCGAAUGGAUUAAGAGCUUGCUCUUAUGAAGUUAGCGGCGGACGGGUGAGUAACACGUGGGUAACCUGCCCAUAAGACUGGGAUAACUCCGGGAAACCGGGGCUAAUACCGGAUAACAUUUUGAACCGCAUGGUUCGAAAUUGAAAGGCGGCUUCGGCUGUCACUUAUGGAUGGACCCGCGUCGCAUUAGCUAGUUGGUGAGGUAACGGCUCACCAAGGCAACGAUGCGUAGCCGACCUGAGAGGGUAGUCGGCCACACUGGGACGGAGACACGGCCCAGCCUCCGACGGGAGGAAGCAGUAGGGAAUCUUCCGCAAUGGACGAAGGUCUGACGGAGCAACGCCGCGUGAGUGAUGAAGGCUUUCGGGUCGUAAAACUCUGUUGUUAGGGAAGAACAAGUGCUAGUUGAAUAAGCUGGCACCUUGACGGUACCUAACCAGAAAGCCACGGCUAACUACGUGCCAGCCGCCGCCGUAA
This 515-nucleotide ribosomal RNA is filed under the name uncultured bacterium. Its description in RNAcentral is "partial 16S ribosomal RNA". It matches the Rfam family "Bacterial small subunit ribosomal RNA", at positions 28 to 523 of the family's 1533-position model. The record is from RNAcentral.